UCGCACCUACCGAUUGAAUGGUCCGGUGAAGCCUCGGGAUUGUGGUCUGGUUCCUUUACUGGGACUUGACCGCGAGAACUUGUCUAAACCUUAUCAUUUAGAGGAAGUAA
RNAcentral lists this ribosomal RNA (110 nucleotides) under uncultured eukaryote. Its description in RNAcentral is "partial small subunit ribosomal RNA". The record is from RNAcentral.